This 12736-nucleotide long non-coding RNA is filed under the name Triticum aestivum (bread wheat). RNAcentral's name for it is "long non-coding RNA (TAES_LNC024247)". Lineage: Eukaryota; Viridiplantae; Streptophyta; Magnoliopsida; Poales; Poaceae. The record is from RNAcentral.
GGAAGAAGACUUUGAGGAUUUCUUCUUCUUCUUGUCAUGAGAAUCAUAUUCCUUGCUCUUCUUCUUCUUGUUCUCAUUGUCCCACUGUGGACACUCAGAGAUGUAGUGACCAUGUUUCUUGCACUUGUGGCAUGUUCUCUUCUUGUGGUCAUGAGUGGAGGCUUCAUCAUUUCUCGAGCUGGAUCUUGAAGACUUUCUGAAUCCUUUCUUCUUAGUGAAUUUCUGGAACUUCUUCACAAGCAUAGCAAGCUCCUUUCCAAUGUCUUCAGGAUCCCCAGAACUGCAGUCAAAUUCUUCGUCAGAUGAGGAAACAACCUUUGCCUUCAAAGCGCGAGUUCGGCCAUAGUUGGGACCAUAGAUAUCUCUUUUCUAAGAUAACUGGAACUCAUGUGUGUUGAGCCUCUCAAGUAUGUCAGACGGAUCGAGAGUCUUGAAGUCAGGGCGUUCUUGAAUCAUCAGGGCCAGGGUGUCAAAUGAGAUGUCGAGUGAUCUCAAGAGUGUCUUGACGAUUUCAUGCUUGGUGAUCUCAGUGGCGCCGAGUGCAUGAAGCUAAUUUGUGAUAUCAGUGAGGCGGUUAAAUGUGAGCUGGACAUUCUCAUUGUCAUUUCUCUUGAAACGGUUGAAGAGGUUGCGAAGAACACUGAUCCUUGAAUCUCUCUAGGUUGAGACGCCUUCGUUGACCUUGGAGAGCCAGUCCCUGACUAGCUUCGCAGUUUCCAGAGCACUCACACAACCAUACUGUCCUUUGGUCAGAUGACCAUAGAUGAUGUUCUUGGCAGUAGAAUUCAGUUGAAUGAACCUCUUGACAUCAGCGGGGGUGACACCUUCACCGGCCUUGGGAACGCCGUUCUUGAUGACAUACCAGAGGUCGACAUCAAUGGCUUCAAGAUGCAUGCACAUCUUAUUCUUCGAGUAGGGGUAAUCAGUGCCAUCGAAGACAGGGCACGCAGAGGAGACUUUGAUUAUCCCUGCAGUCGACAUAGCUAAAACUCCAGGUGGUUAAACCGAAGCGCACAGAACAAGGGAGCACCUUGCUCUGAUACCAAUUGAAAGUGCUAGUUAUCGACUAGAGGGGGGCGAAUAGGUGAUUUUUAUGAAAGUCUUCAAAACACGGGGGCUUUGAAUACAAACAGUAGAUAUGAGCCUAUAGAUAUGCAGUGGAAGGUAGACUACACUAGACAAGCCAUAGUCAAGUAAGCAAUGAAGUGAAAGCACGAAGACUAUUAGCAGCUAGGUAGUAUGGAUUAGGAUGGAAGAUAGUAUGAAGCCAAACAACAAUAGUCGUCACACAGUGAAGUCAAUCAGAUCAAACAAGCAGGCAAUGACUUCAUGAAGACAAACUGUAAGUAAAGAGAGGUAAGAGAUAGAACCAGUUGUUUGGUGAGGACAGGGAUUUGUUGGACCAGUUCCAGUUGCUGUGACAACUGUACGUCUGGUUAGGGAGGCUGAGAUUUAACUCAGAAGACCGCGUCUUCACCUUAUUCCCCUUGAGCUAAGGACACGUAGUCCUCGCCCAAUCACUCUGGUAAGUCUUCAAGGUAGACUUCCAAACCUUCACAGACUUCGUUCACCGGCAAUCCACAAUGACUCUUGGAUGCUCAGAACGCGACGCCUAACCGGCUGGAGGAUUCACAGUCCUCAAGUGUAAUAAGUCUUCAGGUCACACGGACAGAAAGACUUCAGUGAUGCCUAACACUCUUUGGCUCUGGGUGUUUUGGGCUUUGUCCUCGCAAGGAUCUCUCUCUCAAAUGCUUUGGAGGUGGGUUUCUCUCAAACGACAGAAGCCGUGUACUAACUCUGAGCAGCCACCAAUUUAUGGUAUAGGGGGUGGGCUAUUUAUAGCCAGGAGGCAACCCGACCUGAUUUGUCCAAAAUGACCCUGGUCACUAAGGAACUGACACGUGUCCAACGGUCAGAUUUCAAACACACGCGGCAGCUUGACUUGGGCUACAAGUAAAGCUGACUCAUCCAGCUCUGGAUAAGAUUUGCUCUCAUUGUCUUCGCUCGAAGACAUAGGAUUUGGUUGAGCAUCACUUUAGUCACUCUGACUUUGUUCACUUGGACCCCACUUAACAGUACGGUGGUUCCUAUGACUCAACAAAGAAGAAAAGGAAACUACGAAACAACUAUGUCUCUGCACUCCAUAGUCUUCACGUGAAUGUCUUCUCAAGUCAUAGUCUUCGUUGUGAAUAUCUUCACAGACCAUCAUUGUCUUCAAUGUCUUCACACAUUUUUAGGGGUCAUCUCUGGUAGGUAAACUGAAUGAAUGUGGGACUACUACCCGUGUUAUCCUGCAAUUCUCACAAACACAUUAGUCCCUCAACCAAGUUUGUCGUUAAUACUCCAAAACGAACUAGGGAUGGCACUAGAUGCACUUACACAUACCCCGCUUAAGUGUCCACCAUCUUCAUCGUCCCCGGCAGGCCGCGCUACAUACUGGCACACACUCAGCAGCCAUGUCGAGCGACAGCGAGGACGACAGUUCGGCCAGCAGUCUAGCGUCCGAUGAUAGGUCAACAUCGGAAUCAUCCCGCUCGUCUUCCAUGAGUCCGGCGUCGAGCCCAGACCUCGAUUAUAUCCGGAUCAUGGAAGGGACGCCGCCUUCGGAGGCGUCAGACGACAACCAGAUGGACGAGGAGCCGUCAGAGGACGGAGAAGAGGACGACGAUGAUGAGGAGGAGGAAUGGUCAAACAAGGAGGAGGAGGACGACGACAACAAUGACAAUGACGACGGCGGUGGCGAUGAAAAGCCAACCAUCAGCGGCAAGAAGCGUCCUCGCCAAGACGAUGUCGCGGGGCCAUCCAACAACAACAACAACAACAAUGACUAAAUUAAGCAGACUGUACAUAUCUCUAUUUCUGUUCGCUCAUAUUAAUUUGUUAUCUCUUUUUAUCCUGUCAAUCUCAUCGCAGACGGUUAGUAAUAAGUAUUCAAUAGAGAUCUUCUACAUUAUCGCCCAUAGGUUGGUUUGUUGAACUGUGUGCCCUGAUGAGCACACAAUUUACAAAAAAGUCCGUAUGGGCUGUCUAUAGUGACCGCACACAAUUCUGAUUAUUGACCUGUUUGCCGGGUAUCACACACAUCUUGUUACGCCGAUUGUGUUCACCUCGAUCAUCGCAAACAGUUCAUCGGAGCAAACUGUAUGCUGUAUAUCGCACACACAUUGAUAUGGCUGCCCGUUUCUAUUGUUCUGUCUAAUCGCAAACAGUUCGUAUGGAUCAACCAUAUGCCCUGCAUCGCACGCGCAACUACAAUCUGAACCGUGUUUGAUGCAUCCUCCAUCACAAACGGUUUGCACAUUUUUUGACGGUUAUUUUACACCACCAUUUGCGAUUAUUGCAUCGCACACAGUUUCGUCGAAGGGUCUCUGAUCGUAGUGUCGCGUUAGCAGCAUCCUGCAGUAGUGACCUCAUCACCCUUGUUGACCGAGAUUGACAUCUUGAUCAACACAGUACCGUGAACAACCUAAGCUCUGAAUACCACUUGAUAAAACACCGACUAGCGAGAUGCUAAAUCGUGCGAGCCGUGGCUCAAUCUUUCACAGUACUGUUGUCGUAAACGAUCGAGGUAGAAAGAGAUUCGGCCCUUGCUAUUAUUUAACAAGAACAGAAACUAAUCUGCGGCAAGAUUGACAAAGAUCAAACUCAACACAGCAGCAUACGAUCCAUCACAAAGGGUCGCAGAAAAGGCAGCAACUUGACGUCCCAGACCUGGAACCUUUUUCUCUGUCUAUUAACACUCGAUGAAAAAAUCAAUCUCAAAACAACCACCCUCGUACACGGCUGUAGCCGGCCUUUUAUAUAGGCGGCGCGUACAUAGUAAACCGACUUGCGUACAAGACCUAUCUUAUUUGGACUCUCUCUCUUUCCUAUCCCAACAAAUCAAGGAAUUAAAUAAUAAAUUAUCUGGCACGCUGAUCACCUAUAGUAACGAACUUUGGACUCCUAUGAAAACUAGUACGUAACUAGUAUUAGAUCAAAUGACUUGACCCUCUCGUAUCGAUUGACAGACACAGGCCAUGCGAUAAUUUAUGUAGCACAUGGAGUUCUGAAGGUGGGCUUAACUUCAUCCUUCUUCGGUUUAGUUGGUGGAACUUCAAACCUAAAAGAACCAACUUGUAAAACAUUCCGAAGAUUAUCUCUUGCACUAGCGGCCACAUCAGAGUAGUAAGUAGAUGAUGGGUUGCGAGAGUGACAGAAGCUUAAACCCUAGUUUAUGCGUUAUUUCAUAAGGUUUCGAUUUGGAUCCAUAUGUUUCAUGCUAUGAUUAUAUUUAUCUUAAUUCUUCUUUUGUACUUGUGGAUGCUUGCGAGAGGGGGUAAUCAUAAGUGGGUUGCUUGUUUCAAGUAAGAACAAUACCCUAGCACCGGUCCACCCACAUAUCAAAUUAUCAAAAUAGUUAACGCGAAUCGACUAAACAUGAUGAAAGUUAACCAGACAAUAUUCCCAUGUGUCCUCGAGAACGCUUUACUGACUAUAAGAAGUACUUUCGGCUUAUCCUUUGUUAUAAAAAAGAUCGAGCCACCUUGUUGCAGCUUUGUUAUUUUUGUUACUUGCUACUUAUUACGAAUUACCUUGCUAUUAAACUAUCCGUUACUACUAUUUACAACACUUGCGGAGAAUAUCUUGCUGAAAACCAAUUGUCAAUUCCUUCUGCUCCUCGCUAGGUUAGAUACUCUUACUUAUCGAAAGGACUACGAUUGAUCCCCUAUACUUGUGGGUCAUCACUUAUCAACAACAACAACAACAAAGCACGGGUUGACAGGUUCGGGAAUGAUUCUAAGAGACAAAGGGAGUGGUAAUAUUUUUUUUUGCAUAUUGUCGCACAUUCCAUUGCAACGAGGCACUCGAAGGAGAGCUACAUGUGGCCAUGGAGGGUGUUAGCCUUACUUUAGUGCUCGGACCCACCAAUGUUGAUUCAAGGUGAUUGCGCGGUGGCACUGGCGGCGCUCCAAGAUGGAUCCAUGGAUAGGUCUGCUUAUGGUCACAAUAUUGCCGAGGUGAAGGAAUUGUUGAAGAAGAGAGUGCUUAAUCCGGUUAAGAUAUCUCGCAAACAAAGUAGGGUUGCACAUUGCUUAAUGAGCUAUGGUCGUAGUCGUAGUGGGAUAACACUACAUGCUAGCUUAACCAAUCCUCCUCUUUUGUUGCUGAACUUGUCGCGAACAAUGGUAACCCUGUAAUUUUAGAAUAAGUACCUUAUAUUUCCCGCAAAACAACAACAACAACAAAGCUUUUUGGUUCCAACCAAGUUGAGGCAGGCUAAGAGGCCCUGUUCGUUUGGGCUUUUUGUAACGCCCCGGAUCCGAUGCGCCAGGUGUCUGCCAGUUAUUCGCUGCCGUUGCCAUGUCAUCUGCUUGCGUGUUGCAUUUUGCCAUGUCAUCAUCUGCAUUUCAUAUCAUGUCAUCAUGUGCAUCGCAUUUGCAUACGUGUUCGUCUCUUGCAUCCGAGCAUUUUCCCCGUUGUCCGUUUUGCAAUCCGGCGCUCCUAUCUCCUCCGGUGCACCCCUCUUGUUUUCUUUCGUGUGCGGGUGUCAAACUUUCUCGGAAUGGACCGAGUCUUGUCAAGUGGCCUUGGUAUACCACCCGGAGACCACCGGUCAAGUUUCGUUCCAUUUGGAGGUCGUUUGGUACUCCAACGGUUAACCGGGUAACCGCGAAGUCCGUUUUGGCAUUGCAGCAAAACCCCCUUUCAAACAGCCCCAAAACCCCUCUAAGUCUCCGUCAUGCUCUCGGUCGUUCGAUCACGAUCGCGUGGGCGAAAACCGCACCUCAUUUGAACUCUCCUAGCUCCCUCUACCUAUAAGUAUGCCUCUUCUCCGAAAUCCCGCAGUCCAAACCCUAAAAAUCCUCUCCUCACCGCACCGAAUAUGUCCGCCCGCCGCCGGACGCCGUCCGCCGCCACCCCGACCAAUCACAGCAUGCCACGUGUCCUCCGCCGCCGUCUCNNNNNNNNNNNNNNNNNNNNNNNNNNNNNNNNNNNNNNNNNNNNNNNNNNNNNNNNNNNNNNNNNNNNNNNNNNNNNNNNNNNNNNNNNNNNNNNNNNNNNNNNNNNNNNNNNNNNNNNNNNNNNNNNNNNNNNNNNNNNNNNNNNNNNNNNNNNNNNNNNNNNNNNNNNNNNNNNNNNNNNNNNNNNNNNNNNNNNNNNNNNNNNNNNNNNNNNNNNNNNNNNNNNNNNNNNNNNNNNNNNNNNNNNNNNNNNNNNNNNNNNNNNNNNNNNNNNNNNNNNNNNNNNNNNNNNNNNNNNNNNNNNNNNNNNNNNNNNNNNNNNNNNNNNNNNNNNNNNNNNNNNNNNNNNNNNNNNNNNNNNNNNNNNNNNNNNNNNNNNNNNNNNNNNNNNNNNNNNNNNNNNNNNNCCUCCCCUUCUCCUCCGGCCCCGUCCUUCCCUUCCUCCCUCGGCCAUGGCGCCGCCCCGCGCCGUCCGGUGAGCUCCCCGCCGGAGCAUUGCCGCCUCUGCCCCGAGCUCGAGCAGCCCAUCCUCGAUCCCGAUCUAGAUUUUCUGUACGUUGACUUUUCCCCUCCCCUCGAAAUCUCUGUCCCUGAAUUUUGUUAAUAUGUGUGCAUGUUCAACUGUGUGUAACUUCUUGCAUGUAGCUCCGAUUCGCGCGUGUAAUAUGUCAAAUUGUUCGUCUCGUGAUGCUCUACAUUUUGUUCAAUUGCACCAUGUUCAUUUGAGUCCAUCUUGAUGCCCUAAUCAUCGUUGCAAGAGUGCUAGUUGCUGUUAUUCUCUGGUUCUUAACAGAACUUGGAGAUUUGUCAUUUUUGUAUCAUUAAAUCUGUUCAUCUUUUGAGCAUGAAUUCUACAUGUGUUUUGAAGUAUGCCAUGCCAUCUUUCCAGUGGUGUAGUCCAUGUAUUUUUUUGAUCUCUGUGGUGACUAGCGCAAGCAUGCAAAGUAGGCUCCGUAAUGUUUCUGAUUUCAGAGACAGUGAUUUCUCUAAGUCCUUGUCUGCUGUUAUUUUGUUGCCAUGUAAACUUGAUGCUACAGUGAGAUCCAUCCAUAUUUUGGAGAUGUUCAGUAAGGAUUUUUUGUAGCUAUAGUUAUAAUUGAUCCAUUCCUGUCCUUGUUUGCAAUUAUGGAGUGCCAUAGCAUGACUCAAUCUUGCUCUACUUUUGCUAUAAAAUAUUUCUGGCAGAUUCUUAACUUGAUAUGCAAUUUUGCCAAUCUUGUUGUAGUUGAUCCAUACAUGCUAUGUACUUGUUCUUGCCAUGGUUAGCUUCUUAAACAUGCCAUCUUGCUGUAGGUAUGCUUGUCUUGUCAUGCAUUGCUCUGUAGUGAGUGCAUCAAGCUCACAAAGAGGCCUACAUAUUAUUGUUUCUGCCAUGAUCUGAUUUCUGCUAAGUCUGAAACCUGAUAACGAAACUUGCUAUGUUUACAUGCUUGCCAUCAUAUCUUCUGGUCCUUUUUGACUUAUGGUCAGUAAGGGACUUUUGUUUUAUGCUUUGAGUAGAUUCAUGCCAUGCUUUGUUUUGCCAUGUUAAGUUCCUGUAGCAUGUUGUUUUCGUGCUCUGAACAUUGCAACCUGAUGUUAUUUCUGCCAUGUCCAGUAAUUCUGCUAAGUCUGUGAACCUGUUAUUAUUUUGCAAUCUUGCCAUGUCCUUUUGAGCAUGUUCUAGUGAAUUCUGGAGAUAGAUCAGUGUUCAUGUUUUGUUGUGCUUUACCUGUACUUCAUUUCCAUGCCUUUUGUUUUCAUGUUGAGUUGCUGUAGCAUAUUGUUUUGAUGCUUGCAUUAUGCCUAGUUGCUGUUUUGGUCAGAUUGUUGCUAUGUCUUGUUUGGAGUGUAUGUGUUGCAUCGUUGCUCCGUUUUGAGCAUGCUCUAUAUGAAACUUGCUUAGAAUUGUAUGUAGUUCCAUAUUAUCAUGUUGCACCCUUGUUUUGAGGUGUUUGCUUGAUGUUUGUAUGCAUUUUGCAUCAAUGCCAUGUUUAACUUGUUUCGCUCAUAUCUUCUAGGCCGUAACUCCGAAUCUAAUGAACUUUAUAUGUAACUUGACUAGAAUUUCGUGUAGAUCAUCAUGGUGCUCUUUAACUUACUGUUUAACAACUUCAACUUAAUGCUUGUUCAGUUCUGGACCUAUUUCGAAAUUUGCAUAUGAGGACUUACCGGAAUUGUUAUAUGUUGUUUCCGGCCUCAUUUAAACUUGCCUUCGAAAUUUGCAUAUGAGGACUUACCGGAAUUGUUAUAUGUUGUUUCCGGCCUCAUUUAAACUUGCCUUGAUGUGUUGUUCUUGUAUGCAUCAUCUCUUGCCACGAGUAGCUUCAUAUAGACUCGUCAUGCAUCAUUCUUGUUUGAGCAUCAUGCCUUGUUCAUGCGUGGUGUGUUUACCUUGUUGUGUGCUUCUUCUCGAUAGUUCCCGUGUCGUUGCGAUCGUGAGGAUUCGUUCGUCUUCGUGGCUUCAUCUUCUUCAUGGAUUCGUUCUUCUUCCUAGCGGGAUUUCAGGCAAGAUGACCGUCACCUUGGAUCUCAUUACUAUCAUUGCUAUGCUAGUUGCCUCGUUCUAUCGCUUUGCUGCGCUACCUAUUCACUUGUUCCUCAAGCCUCCCAUUUUGCCAUGAACCUCCAACCUUUGUCACCCUUCCUAGCAAACCGUUGUUUGGCUAUGUUACCGCUUUGCUCAGCCCCUCUUAUAGCGUUGCUAGUUGCAGGUGAAGAUGAAGAUUGCUCCAUGUUGGAUUAUGUUUAUGUUGGGAUAUCACAAUAUCUCUUAUUUUAUUAAUGCAUCUAUAUAUUUGGUAAAGGGUGGAAGGCUCGGCCUUAUGCCUGGUGUUUUGUUCCACUCUUGCCGCCCUAGUUUCUGUCAUACCGGUGUUAUGUUCCUUGAUUUUGCGUCCCUCACACGGUUGGGUGAUUUAUGGGACCCCCUUGACAGUUCGCCUUGAAUAAAACUCUUCCAGCAAGGCCCAACCUUGGUUUUACCAUUUGUCCAGCCUAUUUCUUUUCCCUAGGGAGUCGCUCUCUCGAGGGUCAUCUUAUUUUAACCCCCCCGGGCCAGUGCUUCUCUAAGUGUUGGUCCGAACUGAGUAGACUGCGGGGCCACCUCGUGGAAACUCGAGGUCUGGUUUUACUCGUAGGAUGUCUCAUCCGGUGUUGCCCUGAGAACGAGAUAUGUGCAGCUCCUAUCGGGAUGUCGGCGCAUCGGGCGGCUUUGCUGGUUUUGUUUUACCAUUGUCGAAAUGUCUUGUAACCGGGAUUCCGAGACUGAUCGGGUCUUCCCGGGAGAAGGAAUAUCCUUCGUUGACCGUGAGAGCUUAUCAUGGGCUAAGUUGGGACACCCCUGCAGGGUAUUAUCUUUCGGAAGCCGUGCCCGCGGUUAUGUGGCAGAUGGGAAUUUGUUAAUAUCCGGUUGUAGAGAACUUGACACUUGACCUUAAUUAAAACGCAUCAACUGCGUGUGUAGCCGUGAUGGUCCCUUCUCGGCGGAGUCCGGGAAGUGAACACGGUUUCUGGGUUAUGUUUGAUGUAAGUAGGAGUUCAGGGAUCACUUUGAUCAUUGCUAGUUUCACGACCGUUCCUUUGCUUCUCUUCUCGCUCUCAUCUGCGUAAGUCAGCCACCUUACAUGCUUAGUCACUGCUGCAACCUCACCACCUUAUUCAUUCCUUUCCCUUUAAGCUUUGCUAGUCUUGAUACCCAUGGUAAUGGGAUUGCUGAGUCCUCGUGACUCACAGAUUACUACACCACCAGUUGCAGGUACAGGUUUUGCGAUGAUCAUGACGCGAGAGCGAUGUUUACCUUGUUCGGAGUUCUUCUUCUGCUUCUUCUUCGAUCAGGGGAUAGGUUCCAGGUCGGCAGCCUGGGCUAGCAGGGUUGAUGUCGUUUGAGUUUCUGUUUAUGUUUCAUCCGUAGUCGGAUGUUGAUCUCAUGUAUGAUAUAUUGAUGUAUUCUUGCGGCACUUGUAUGCCUUGUAUGUAUCCCCAAAUAUUAUGUAAUGUUGAUGUAAUGAUAUCCACCUUGCAAAAGCGUUUCAAUAUGCGGUUCUAUCCUUGGUGGGGCCUUCGAGUCUCUUUAGGAUAGUAUCGCAUAUUGGGCGUGACACUUUUGCUUCUGCUUUUGCAGCCUUUUCACUUUGAACAAAAAGCCAUAAAAGCUCCCAAAUAGGUGCUCCAAAAGCUCCAAAAGCACCUAUUUUGGGGCCUUUAUGGCUUUUUGUUCAACGUGAAAAGGCUGCAAAAGCAGAAGCAAAAACCCAAACAAACAGGGCCAGAGUUGUUAUCAUUUUUUUUGAGAAGUUACGUUAAAGUUUUCAACCUCUAGUGAAUAACGUGCACAAACGAGAAUAACCUCGAAAGGUUGAAAGAGUUACAAUAGGAUUUUCCAUUUUUCUUUUUGAGUUUUUUACGAGUGGCCAUUUUCUUUUUGAGUAAAAGAUGACACUGUUCUGGGCCCAAUAAACCGUACAGGGCCAGAGAAGCCGAUCCCGAAGAGGCCCACCACUCCCACAAUAUUUGCUCCGCCUCUCGUUCUCUCCCCUCUCUCUCUCUCUCUCUAGCCUCUCCAUUCCGUGUGGCGACCGAGCGAACCCUAGCCGAGAUUAGACUACCAUCCCCAAUCUACCGGAGGAGGACGAGGACGACGCCGACGAGAUGCUGAGGGUUGCGGGGAGGAGGCUCUCGUCUUCGCUCUCCUGGCGCCCCGUGGCGACCGUCGGAGCCAGGGGCCCGCUCGCUGGCGCCGGCGGCCCUGGGAGAGACGACGACGACGGUUCGGCCUACCAGCGGCGGUUCGCCAUCGAGUCCCCCUUCUUCACCGCCGCGAGAGGUAUCUGCGGUCUUGCCCCCACCCCACCUCCCGCAUCCUCGGCUUCCUUCUCUCCCGGAUCUCCCUCGCAUCCGUAGAUUUCGAUUGGGCUUUGAAUUGGGUCGCCUGGAUUUGAGUGAUCCGUGAUGCUAGAUUGACAUCGUCUUUGAUUGAUCUCUUAGGGUGCUGCAAUUCCAUUCGAUCUCUGUGCCUAACUGUUGACUAUUGAUUUCUAUGACGUCGUAUGAUCAUUCUAGCGGAUCAGAUCUGUGGAUGUCAUAGUUACGUGCGAAGCUGAGCGAUUAAAUACGUGCAUAUGUUUAUCUGUUGGCUGGCUUGGUAAUUUGAGUCACUUGUGCUUGCAAACACCUUCGAAUGAAUGCCCAAUGGGCUAUACUUGCAUAGUUCAUAACGAAAUGGAUUGCUAACCGUGCUGAGCGAUUAUGUUCCUGUAUGUGUUUGCUGGCUUAACAAUUGAGCCACACGUUUGCUAGCAAACACCUUCAGAUGAAUGGGCAGUGUGCUGAAUCUGUCUAGUUCAUAAUGAAAUGGAUUGCUAACGCUGCAAUGCUGCGUGGGAACAUAAAUUGCAUCGUAACAGUUAAUUGACAUUUUUCUACUGUACCUGCUGUUAAAGAUGUUUUGUUUUACAGGACCUGCUGGAUGUUGACAAAACUUGGUCAUAGAACUGUAAUCAUCUGAUUGCUUUAUAAUCCAAUGCCCAUAGCAUAUUCCCAUUGUUAGUAAGAAUGAUAUCUGUACCAAACCAAUGGUUUACUCAAAUAGCAGUACUUGUAGUUCUCUGAAUUCCACAUGUGAAGAGCCAUUUACUACUCAACAUUGUUUAGUUUGUGCAAUGAAAUUCUUGCUAUGGUGAUCUUAUUCAUAUCAUUGCCAACUUCUGCAAGUUGUUUUACCCUUUGUUCUUGCUGGUGGAUUAAUACAGAAGUUUUUUGUGUGUUAGCAGUUUGCAAUCUGUCAUACUGUUUCUGCUGUUUAUUGAUGCCUAAAUAUGGGCUCUGCAACAGUUUACUGUUAUUUAAACUAUACUAUUUGUAAUUCUGAUGCAGGCUUUUCUUCAGCUGAAACACUUGUUCCACGGAACCAAGAUGCUGGGUUGGCUGAACUCCCAGCCACUGUUGCUGCACUGAAGAACCCCAACUCAAAAAUCCUUUAUGACCAGUACAACCAUGAAAGAUAUCCUCCUGGAGAUCCCAGCAAGCGUGCCUUUGCCUACUUUGUUCUGAGUGGUGGGAGAUUCGUAUAUGCAUCACUGCUGCGUCUCCUUGUCUUGAAGUUUGUCUUGAGCAUGUCAGCAAGUAAGGAUGUGCUUGCACUUGCUUCCCUUGAGGUUGAUCUAUCCAGCAUUGAACCCGGUAGCACAGUGACUGUCAAGUGGCGUGGAAAGCCAGUCUUCAUCAGGCGACGGACAGACGAUGACAUCAAGCUGGCCAACAGCGUGGAUGUUGCAUCCCUGCGCCACCCAGAGCAAGACGCUGAGCGUGUGAAGAACCCAGAGUGGCUGGUGGUUAUUGGUGUCUGCACUCAUCUUGGUUGCAUUCCCCUUCCCAACUCUGGAGACUUUGGUGGCUGGUUCUGCCCGUGCCAUGGCUCCCACUAUGACAUCUCUGGCAGAAUCCGCAAGGGCCCUGCCCCGUACAACCUUGAGGUGCCCACCUACAGUUUCUUGGAAGAUAACAAGAUGCUCAUAGGCUAAGAGCCUAAAACCAGUACCUACCGACAUAUAUUAUCCACAGGAGUGAAUUCCUGUUGCGCUGUUAUUUUGUUUUCAAUGUGGCUAGGAGUUUUUGUUUCAGGACUAUUGCAACGGUGAUCCACUGUUACCUACUGAAGUUCAUUUGCAGUGCGAAAUAAUUAUUUCUCCUAUGUUGCUACUGGAUUGCAAGUUGUUUUGUACUGAUUUUCUGAGACCCUAUCGGAAGGAUAUUGUAUACCUCUUCUGGUCCUUGCUACCUAUAUAUUUGUUAAAUAAGCAAACAUACUAUUC